Long non-coding RNA from Uranotaenia lowii, 3861 nucleotides. RefSeq lists it as uncharacterized. The record is from RefSeq and is a predicted model, not a curated record. NCBI's taxonomy places the organism in Eukaryota, Metazoa, Arthropoda, Insecta, Diptera, Culicidae. The transcript has 4 exons.
UACAGUCUUUUUAAUCUCCUACCUAGCUUUUUUUUAAGUAACAAUGCACAGUAGUAAUAAAUACAAUGACAUGGAGGACACAUGCUGUUUGCCUUAUCUUAUGAAUAUUUUCCACGCGACUUUUAGUCAGAAUGAUCGUGUAAUACCGAAUUAAAACUAUGAGAUGAAGUAGGCCUCGAGAUUCUACAUUCUCAGCAAGCUGGAAUCAACGAUGUCAGUUUUGUAUCCCAUAGUAAACGUACGCCCUGCACCAGUCCUCGGUUUUGUCGGUAUUACUGCAGCACAUCGGAUACACAAUGCCGGACUUGGCCACCUUCGAACAGCGCUGACACAACUCGUUUAGAUCUUCCUGCGAGGGGAAGUGGAGGAAAGUAUUUUCAAAUUAAUAAUUUUGAACAUUUGCUUUUUUAAUUCUAUGGUUUUUUCGGCAAUUGGAACUUACAUCCGCGUGACAGCGCUUGACGUUUGUGUAGUCCUCGUCGUAGUACUCUUCAUCUUCUUGCUUGGCUGCGACCAGGGCGGCACGCUUCUGCGGCUGGUGAUGUUGGACAGAGCCAUCUACUUCGAGACCGUCGCCAACCGGAUGACUAAUCCGGGCGUCUGAAGGUCUAGCGAUGACGGGACUGGCCACCAGGAUGAGAAGCAAACAGACCACCGACAGUAUCGCGAAAGUCCGGCAUCGGCGUUGGUGUGCUGAUGAUAAGUAGUGUCGGCUGGACGGUGCCGCGGCGGCCUGAUGCCGACGACCAUGGGCGCUUAUCAUCUUCUGCGAAUGGUAAACCAAAAACGAGAGAGAUGAGCAUGCGGUAUUGUGUGGGUGUGAAAAUAACGGAUUUGAUCGGGACUUUUGGCCUUAGGAACGGAUGUUCCGGUUGGUUGGAUCAUUGCGUCACGGUCAUGCGCUCGGGCAAAGUUCUAGUACUAUCAGAUUUUUAGCCAUAAACGCUUUCAGGUGUCUAUGACUAAACUAAACAGGUGGAAUGACUAAACAGUGAGGUUUUCAAACGGAAACAAAGGCGAAUAUCAGUUAUCUUCAGUAAUUGGCCAUUUGACACCAAAGGAAAAAAAAACGUCCCAGAUGAUGUGUUGAUGGCUGUCAUAAAAAUCAAUCUUGAAAAUGAUAACCGCCCGUUUUCGGUCUUUACUGCUCCGAUGAUUUAUUCGAAAUCACAUGACUGGCCCAAGUGAGUUUGAACCGGUAAAAGGCAAAUUUUUCACGACCCCAAAGCGUGCCACUGGCAAAUUGAGAUCACUUUCGAGAGACCAUUACGCUCAGAGAUUUUGCAUUCAAAUAGAGAAUUAUCUUCAUAUCUGAUGGAAAAAACGAGGUCUGCGGAAAGAGUUCAUUAGUACAAAACUAUGGUGACAAUUAGUGCUCGCUGUUCACGCUAAGCGAUCAUGACCUAGCGCCACGUUGUAACCAAUUUAUUGUCGGAAUAACCGUUUAUUCUACAAGAUAAGCGGAAAAAACUGAAUCCAUCUGCUUACGCAUGAAGUUAAACUCUCUGGAAUAAGAAAUCAGCUGUUGCCUACCGACCGAUCGGCAGGGGGCGAGGUUACUCGAUCAUUCAAUUACAUUUUCUUUAUUGCAUCACUGAUUCUUACUCUGACAUCAGCGGUGCCCGGCAAUCCCGGAACGAUUUGGGAUGCUCUGAAUGGAAACUUCCACCAAGUUCCAUCGACGACCGGCUGAUGUGUUGCCAUCCUCAUCCCAUCUGACACAGUAACUUUUCAAGGCUGAAGAAUUAAGUGAACGAUCGUAAAACAGCGAUCGUUUAACGACACCCCUUUUGAGCUGACAACAUUAGAGGGAACCGAUGCCAAUGACCCGGGUCCAUGUGUAGUAAAUCUUCUGAUUUGGAUUCGCCCUUAUCAGCGAACGAUGAUCGCCUGCCUGACGCAAUUUAGAGCGGAAGUGGAGCGAAUGCAUUUUCCCGUCACGUCUAAGCGCCGGCCGCCGUGACCUGGAAUGUUCGCCUCCUAGGUCACGUGACCACGGUCUGAUUAUGGGCCAUUUAAAGAAGAUAGACAAACUGCAACUCACCACCGAUCUUGCUCGCUGAUAAAAAAUCACGGGAAUCACAACGUCUGCGCUUCAACGUCACAGUUUAUUUUGGAUUUCGGUGUGGCGCUUAUCAGCAAUUGCGUGCCUCUUUUGGUGGAACUUUUGGAAGGCUGGUGAUGACAGAAUAAUCGAACGCAUGGCUUGUCACCGAUUAUCUUAAGUGUCCUAUCAUUCAUCCAACAACUUGACCCCGGUUCGGUUCCACACCAGAUCAGUCGCGUUGGACCAAAAUUCGCCGAAAUUCCUUGCGUCUACGUCAUGAAGCCCGAAUGCACAUAAUGUGUAUGUAUAGAAUGUAGGUAGGUAGGUAGGUAAAUAAGUGCCGACCGCCUUGCUCAAAGUCUGUUUCAGCAUGAUCGUUCACGUUGGUUCAGAUUGUGAAAUUGGCGCCCCCAAAAAAAGUUCGGUCUGGAAGCACGUGCUUUUUCGUAUCAUGCGAAUGCGGUCCCCCCAUUUGAUGUAGUAUGGUAUGAUGCCAUAGAUGGAAGUAAAAUUCUCUUCAUCGAAGACUGACGAUAAGAUUGAAAAAGUCGUAUCUGCAACUGGGUGUAGAUAAGCUAAUUUAGAUGAAGCAGUUGCUAUGUUGGCCUGAAAUCAUGGCUGAAGGUUAUGAUAAGCGUUUUAGGUGAUGUUAGUUCCUUCUGAAUUCGAAUGCUAGAAUGGAAAAUUCACGAAAAAAAAAAUCGCCAAACAUUCAUUAACUUAUGCUUUUUGGACUCUGUCCGAUCACGUUGUUGCCAGGUGAUGGAUGCGAGCGAGCUGAGAAAUUCAUGACGCAAGAGAACGCCGGCAGUGAAUCAUAUUCUCAAAAAAAUUGCUUUCUGCUUCUGCUCGAAAAACCGCACAUGGUUCCAGGAUGCUCAAACACUUCGAAGGCACGCACUGGAAGAACUGUUGACUGUUUUGAAGAAUAACGACGCUGAUCACUUGUUCGCAUUCGAGUCUGAUAUGUGGAGUCCCCAUUUGUUUUUGACUGUUCUGACUGAUUAGAACAGCUGAGAUAACAGUUACGAAACGUGACGGAGAUUAGAGGACACGACGCCGAUAUGAUAAUGAUGUCAUUUGAAUUGGGCAAGCAAAAGUGACUCGGACUUUCGAUGGCGCCGGCUCAAAACGUCAUUCGUUAUGCUAACUUCCGGUUAUCAAAUCGUAUCGAUGGUACUGCCCGCCGAGAGACUAGAAAUGAACAAUUGAUUCUUCUAAGAUAUUUUGUUUCACAACAUCGAAGAGUUCAUUGCAUGUAGGCUAUUUUUGAACAUGCUCAAAUCGUCCUUAUCGCCAAAUGUACAAAGAACAUGCGAGAAGUGCUUAGUGUGUUUGUUUGUGAAACACCUGAUGGUAGCAUGCAAAAAGGCAAACCAAUAGCAGCAAACAGAUCGAUGCAUGUUGCUAUCUGCCGAAGAUAGCAGCCGGUCAGCAAGCGUGGGUGACAAUGGGUGUUGUGGGAAAAAUAUUUUCAAAAUUUUCCGUUGAAUUCGACCAGAAAAAAAACUCUUUAUCUAUUGCCCGAUUUCUCAAUUGAUUUUAUCUACACGUAUGAGUGAUUAUUAAACUACCAAAUCGAAAGACUUCAACGAUUCCGUUAUAAAUCGCAGCUUAGAAUUUUUUUUUAUAUUCACAAAUCGAUUCCAACGGGCUACGUUGAUAAGUUUAAUCUGAAGAAUUAAUUGAUGGUCACCUAUUUAGACGCAAAUUUGACGGAAGGCAUCUUCGAUCAUUUGGGUAAUUUAUUGGUAAUCCUUGAAUUCAAUCAUAAUACGAGCUUUGAAAAAUCCGGUAUAGUUAGUUUUUUUCUU